This 314-nucleotide long non-coding RNA is filed under the name Elaeis guineensis (African oil palm). RNAcentral describes it as "long non-coding RNA (EGUI_LNC000699)". Lineage: Eukaryota; Viridiplantae; Streptophyta; Magnoliopsida; Arecales; Arecaceae. The record is from RNAcentral.
CACUGUCAAAGAGCUGUGGAAUAAUAUAUACAUGCACAUGAUUGAGGGAACAAGAAAAGCAAAAAAAAGAAAAGAUAAAUCAUAAUAUUGAGGAGAAACCUUAGCCUUUUGCUUGGUGCGAAAGAUGGAUAUGGGAGAGGAUGGAUAGAUCUUCCUAUGCUUGGUAAAAUUAAUAUGGAGGAGAAGCAUACUGGUACAAACCCGAUUCAGAAGAUGCUACGAACUCGGAUAGUAUCCAAGGAUCAGAGAGAUGCCGAUUACUUCAAGAGGAUCAGAGGCCUCCAUUGAUCACUUUUAGGGGAUCAAACCUCCAG